CUGGCGGCGUGCCUAAUACAUGCAAGUCGAACGCACAGCGAAAGGUGCUUGCACCUUUCAAGUGAGUGGCGAACGGGUGAGUAACACGUGGACAACCUGCCUCAAGGCUGGGGAUAACAUUUGGAAACAGAUGCUAAUACCGAAUAAAACUCAGUGUCGCAUGACACAAAGUUAAAAGGCGCUUUGGCGUCACCUAGAGAUGGAUCCGCGGUGCAUUAGUUAGUUGGUGGGGUAAAGGCCUACCAAGACAAUGAUGCAUAGCCGAGUUGAGAGACUGAUCGGCCACAUUGGGACUGAGACACGGCCCAAACUCCUACGGGAGGCUGCAGUAGGGAAUCUUCCACAAUGGGCGAAAGCCUGAUGGAGCAACGCCGCGUGUGUGAUGAAGGCUUUCGGGUCGUAAAGCACUGUUGUAUGGGAAGAACAGCUAGAAUAGGGAAUGAUUUUAGUUUGACGGUACCAUACCAGAAAGGGACGGCUAAAUACGUGCCAGCAGCCGCGGUAAUACGUAUGUCCCGAGCGUUAUCCGGAUUUAUUGGGCGUAAAGCGAGCGCAGACGGUUGAUUAAGUCUGAUGUGAAAGCCCGGAGCUCAACUCCGGAAUGGCA
RNAcentral lists this ribosomal RNA (607 nucleotides) under Leuconostoc pseudomesenteroides. RNAcentral's name for it is "bacterial SSU rRNA". It matches the Rfam family "Bacterial small subunit ribosomal RNA", at positions 36 to 625 of the family's 1533-position model. Lineage: Bacteria; Bacillati; Bacillota; Bacilli; Lactobacillales; Lactobacillaceae. The record is from RNAcentral.